Molecule: ribosomal RNA, 160 nt
Filed under: Oenothera rosea
Lineage: Eukaryota; Viridiplantae; Streptophyta; Magnoliopsida; Myrtales; Onagraceae
Description: 5.8S ribosomal RNA
Rfam family: 5.8S ribosomal RNA
About the family: 5.8S ribosomal RNA (5.8S rRNA) is a component of the large subunit of the eukaryotic ribosome. It is transcribed by RNA polymerase I as part of the 45S precursor that also contains 18S and 28S rRNA.
Source: RNAcentral
CGACUCUCGGCAACGGAUAUCUCGGCUCUCGCAUCGAUGAAGAACGUAGCGAAAUGCGAUACUUGGUGUGAAUUGCAGAAUCCCGUGAACCAUCGAGUCUUUGAACGCAAGUUGCGCCCUAAGCCGUUUGGCCGAGGGCACGUCUGCCUGGGCGUCAAUC